UACAGAGGUCUCAAGCGUUGUUCGGAUUCAUUGGGCGUAAAGGGUGCGUAGGCGGCGCGGUAAGUCGGGUGUGAAAUCUCGGAGCUUAACUCCGAAACUGCAUUCGAUACUGCCGUGCUUGAGGACUGGAGAGGAGACUGGAAUUUACGGUGUAGCGGUGAAAUGCGUAGAUAUCGUAAGGAAGACCAGUGGCGAAGGCGGGUCUCUGGACAGUUCCUGACGCUGAGACACGAAAGCGUGGGUAGCAAACAGG
This 253-nucleotide ribosomal RNA is filed under the name uncultured bacterium. RNAcentral's name for it is "partial 16S ribosomal RNA". It matches the Rfam family "Bacterial small subunit ribosomal RNA", at positions 524 to 776 of the family's 1533-position model. The record is from RNAcentral.